This 539-nucleotide ribosomal RNA is filed under the name uncultured bacterium. RNAcentral describes it as "bacterial SSU rRNA". It matches the Rfam family "Bacterial small subunit ribosomal RNA", at positions 8 to 526 of the family's 1533-position model. The record is from RNAcentral.
AGAGUUUGAUCAUGGCUCAGAAUCAACGCUGGCGGCGUGCCUAACACAUGCAAGUCGAACGCGAAAGGGGAGCAAUCCCUGAGUAGAGUGGCAAACGGGUGAGUAACACGUGGGUGACCUGCCUCAGAGUGGGGGAUAACGUCCCGAAAGGGACGCUAAUACCGCAUAACAUCCUGCCUUUGGAAAGGCGGAGAUCAAAGCCGGGGAUCGCAAGACCUGGCGCUUGGAGAGGGGCCCGCGUCUGAUUAGCUAGUUGGUAGGGUAAUGGCCUACCAAGGCGACGAUCAGUAUCCGGCCUGAGAGGGCGGACGGACACACUGGGACUGAGACACGGCCCAGACUCCUACGGGAGGCAGCAGUGGGGAAUUGUUCGCAAUGGGCGCAAGCCUGACGACGCAACGCCGCGUGGAGGAUGAAGAUCUUCGGGUCGUAAACUCCUGUCGAGCGGGACGAACACUUGUCCGGUUAACACCUGGACAGGCUGACGGUACCGCUAAAGGAAGCCCCGGCUAACUCCGUGCCAGCCGCCGCGGUAAUAC